GAUGAACGCUGGCGGCGUGCCUAAUACAUGCAAGUCGAGCGAACGGACGAGAAGCUUGCUUCUCUGAUGUUAGCGGCGGACGGGUGAGUAACACGUGGAUAACCUACCUAUAAGACUGGGAUAACUUCGGGAAACCGUAGCUAAUACCGGAUAAUAUUUUGAACCGCAUGGUUCAAAAGUGAAAGACGGUCUUGCUGUCACUUAUAGAUGGAUCCGCGCUGCAUUAGCUAGUUGGUAAGGUAACGGCUUACCAAGGCAACGAUGCAUAGCCGACCUGAGAGGGUGAUAGGCCACAAGGGAACGGAGACACGGACCAGAGUCAGACGGGAGGCAGCAGUGGGGAAUAUUUCGCAAUGGGCGAAAGUCUGACGGAGAAAAGCUGCGUGAGUGAUAUAUGUCUAAGGAUCGUAAAAAUCUGUGAUGAGGGAAAAACAUAUGUGUAAGUACCGGUGCCCGUCGGGACGGUACCUAAUCAGAAAGCCAGGGCUCGCUACGUU
This 497-nucleotide ribosomal RNA is filed under the name uncultured bacterium. Its description in RNAcentral is "partial 16S ribosomal RNA". It matches the Rfam family "Bacterial small subunit ribosomal RNA", at positions 28 to 507 of the family's 1533-position model. The record is from RNAcentral.